UACGGAGGGUGCAAGCGUUAAUCGGAAUUACUGGGCGUAGAGCGUGCGCAGGCGGUUUGUUAAGUCCGCUGUGAAAUCCCCGAGCUCAACUUGGGAAUUGCAGUGGAUACUGGCAAGCUGGAGUAUGGUAGAGGAAGGUGGAAUUCCCGGUGUAGCAGUGAAAUGCGUAGAGAUCGGGAGGAACACCAGUGGCGAAGGCGGCCUUCUGGACCAAUACUGACGCUCAUGCACGAAAGCGUGGGGAGCAAACAGG
This 253-nucleotide ribosomal RNA is filed under the name uncultured bacterium. RNAcentral describes it as "partial 16S ribosomal RNA". It matches the Rfam family "Bacterial small subunit ribosomal RNA", at positions 524 to 776 of the family's 1533-position model. The record is from RNAcentral.